RNAcentral lists this ribosomal RNA (113 nucleotides) under Chinchilla lanigera (long-tailed chinchilla). The record is from RNAcentral. Lineage: Eukaryota; Metazoa; Chordata; Mammalia; Rodentia; Chinchillidae.
GUCUAUGGCCAUACCACCCUGAUCGCGCCCGAUCUCAUCUGAUCUCAGAAGCUAAGCAGGGUCGGGCCUGGUCAGUACUUGGAUGGGAGACAGAAAUGUCUGGGCUUUAGUAC